Molecule: ribosomal RNA, 495 nt
Filed under: uncultured bacterium
Lineage: Bacteria
Description: partial 16S ribosomal RNA
Rfam family: Bacterial small subunit ribosomal RNA
Source: RNAcentral
GACGAACGCUGGCGGCGCGCCUAAUACAUGCAAGUAGAACGCUGAAGGAGGAGCUUGCUUCUCUGGAUGAGUUGCGAACGGGUGAGUAACGCGUAGGUAACCUGCCUGGUAGCGGGGGAUAACUAUUGGAAACGAUAGCUAAUACCGCAUAAUAGUAGAUGUCGCAUGACAUUUGCUUAAAAGGUGCAAUUGCAUCACUACCAGAUGGACCUGCGUUGUAUUAGCUAGUUGGUGAGGUAACGGCUCACCAAGGCAACGAUACAUAGCCGACCUGAGAGGGUGAUCGGCCACACUGGGACUGAGACACGGCCCAGACUCCUACGGGAGGCAGCAGUAGGGAAUCUUCGGCAAUGGACGGAAGUCUGACCGAGCAACGCCGCGUGAGUGAAGAAGGUUUUCGGAUCGUAAAGCUCUGUUGUAAGAGAAGAACGAGUGUGAGAGUGGAAAGUUCACACUGUGACGGUAUCUUACCAGAAAGGGACGGCUAACUACGUG